Molecule: ribosomal RNA, 486 nt
Filed under: uncultured bacterium
Lineage: Bacteria
Description: partial 16S ribosomal RNA
Rfam family: Bacterial small subunit ribosomal RNA
Source: RNAcentral
AUUGAACGCUGGCGGCAUGCCUUACACAUGCAAGUCGAACGGCAGCACGGGUGCUUGCACCUGGUGGCGAGUGGCGAACGGGUGAGUAAUACAUCGGAACAUGUCCUGUAGUGGGGGAUAGCCCGGCGAAAGCCGGAUUAAUACCGCAUACGAUCUACGGAUGAAAGCGGGGGACCUUCGGGCCUCGCGCUAUAGGGUUGGCCGAUGGCUGAUUAGCUAGUUGGUGGGGUAAAGGCCCACCAAGGCGACGAUCAGUAGCUGGUCUGAGAGGACGACCAGCCACACUGGGACUGAGACACGGCCCAGACUCCUACGGGAGGCAGCAGUGGGGAAUUUUGGACAAAGGGCGAAAGCCUGAUCCAGCAAUGCCGCGUGUGUGAAGAAGGCCUUCGGGUUGUAAAGCACUUUUGUCCGGAAAGAAAUCCUUGGCCCUAAUACGGUCGGGGGAUGACGGUACCGGAAGAAUAAGCACCGGCUAACUACGUG